GAUAUACUCCCUCCGUUUGGAAUUAUUUGUCGGAGAAAUGGAUGUAUCUAGACGUAUUUUAGUUCUAGAUACAUCCAUUUCCGAGACAAGUAAUUCCGAACGGAGGGAGUAUAUG
Non-coding RNA from Triticum aestivum (bread wheat), 115 nucleotides. The record is from Rfam. Lineage: Eukaryota; Viridiplantae; Streptophyta; Magnoliopsida; Poales; Poaceae.